Molecule: long non-coding RNA, 1361 nt
Filed under: Cervus hanglu yarkandensis (Yarkand deer)
Lineage: Eukaryota; Metazoa; Chordata; Mammalia; Artiodactyla; Cervidae
Description: lncRNA (ENSCHYG00000021406.1)
Source: RNAcentral
CAAGGACUCAAGAUCAUGAGAUUAGCAAAUUUCCAAAAGGGAUCUGUCGCAGUUAAACAAGUCUGCUUCACCACCGCCAGUUUCGGUGCCAUGAUUGCAUUUGGCAAUGGGCUAAAGGCCCUAGGCAUUCAUUCUGCAACAAUUCAGGGAGGUAGACAGUGAGUGGACUCCAAAUGGAGCCAGGGAGCCCCCAGUAAGCAGGAAGAGAGGUGCAUGGAAGACACAAGCUUCUGGGGACUUGAGGGGAGGGACAGACCAGAGUGUGACAAGGAGUCUGCCCCACAACAGCGCCAGCAUCCUGACCUGAGCACGGAGAGACCCUGGACUAGGAACAAGGCGCCUCAACCCGGCACAACCUCCCGACAAGCUGGCAACUCCAAAUGAAUGUCAAGUAUUUGCGAAGCAAGAUGGCAAAUGCAAAACAUCAUCCAUGAAGUCUUCAGGAAAGGAACUCAUGGAUCUCCUUUUAAUCGUAAGAAGGUUCCCAGACAUUUCUUCAUGGCUCACCUGUGUAGUCCAAGUCAUAGAUCGAGAAUCUACAGGAUUUAAGUGGCAAAUGUCAGCAUAUUUAUAAAUGGCUUUGGUAGAAUCAUGUUUUCAAACAUGCUUUUGCUCAUAAUUCUCUGUUAAGUGACAAGACCAUCACCUUCCUGUAAAUUAGUUCUUCCAGACCAUCUCAGUUUAGCCAGGUAACAACCACUGAAUGUUCACAAAACAUCCUUUGUGAUUGACUUCUGAAGUAUACACCAAACAAGGAAGAGCAUCCAUGAUCCAUGGAGCCCCUGUAACCAGGCAAAUCUGUGCCAGCUACUAAGCACUUGAGAGAAACGUGGGAAAAUCUACUGUUGGGAAAGACAGAAGAAGAAAACCCAAUUCCAGGAUCCACUGGUUCAUGCUUCAACAUGUCUAGGUAAUCACCAGUUCUCCAAAAAGUACAGACAAUGGGCACAAAUGAAUCUUCAUCUCCCUUUAUCCUUUUCUAGCCUGAGGACAAUGGAUGAUUAUGACCACUUCUGUCUGGAACUUAUAAUCACUCUGACUUUUCAUCCAUUCAACAAAUUUUAUUGAGCUUCUGCUCUGUUCUGGGUACUAUGUGGGGCACCAGAAAAGAGCAUUUAAAUAAGACCUAGUCCCUGACUUUGGAUUUCUCACAGUGAGAUGAAAGAGGUAGGCAGGUUAUAUUUAAAGUCAGGGCUAACAGAGCUUUGGGCCCUCUUUGAAACUAUGGGAUAUAUGUUGUCCCCAGAACCAGGGUCAGAAUGAAAAAUAAACAGGAAUUCCCAGCUGCAAGGUUUUACCAAACAAUCCUCUUUACCCAGGACAACAGUUAAUCUUUAAUAGGAAAAACAGGAAGCAUCCUA